This is an RNA transcript of Triticum dicoccoides, 1103 nucleotides long. RefSeq lists it as uncharacterized. The transcript is spliced from 4 exons. The record is from RefSeq and is a predicted model, not a curated record. Lineage: Eukaryota; Viridiplantae; Streptophyta; Magnoliopsida; Poales; Poaceae.
ACUACACUCACACCAAAGACCAAACCCAGUCGUCGUCGCUGAGCAAAGAAAGAAGCGAAUCCAUGGCGUUCGUCCCGGAGGCACCUGCAGCGUGGAAGCUCCUGCUACGGGGCGGCGGAGCCAUGACGCGGUCCCUGCGCGACGCCGGCCUCGGCUUCGACCUCGACGGUGCCGGGCGCUUUCUCGCCCCCCUGUGGGAGCUCAUCAAGCAGAAGGCCGCCGAGCUCGCGGCCUUCCUCACCGGCCUCCUCGCCGCGCUCGGCAAGAAGGCCGACGAGCUCUUUCCGCCGGAGACCCGCUCGGAGACGCUCGCGCAGUGGGUGCGCGUCGGCGUCACCGUUGUGCUCCCGCCCGCGCUUGGCGCGCUUGUGCUGUUCUGGCUGGCCCGGUGCUGCUGCCGCUGCCGCUGCUGCUGCGGCCGCGGCGGCGGCGGCGGGCGAACGAUGGUGGCUCCCGGCCGCGGCGGCGUGCGCAUGCCGCGCGGCGCGUUCGAGGGUGCUCCCCGGACAUACUUCCGCGACCUCCGUGCAAAGAAGACCCACAUAUACUAGUGACUUGUCUUCGAGAGCGGCGGCAGCGGUGCUCCCUUCGGAUCCCCCCCACAUCCCUCUCAGAUCUGGAGUUUUGAGGCCCGGAUUCGAUCUCCAAUCCCUCCUACUAGGAUGGUUUGGCUUAUCGACGAUGUCUACGACACGAAACACCGGGCCUACAUGAUGCGCGAGAAGGAGAUGAAGCUUGAACCUUUGAAGAUACGGUAUCACGGGGUCUCUGGUCCUGCCAUGCCUUACGCUGAGCGGUACACACCAUACAUCAAGUAGGCAGGACUACUCCCAUGGAUUCAGUUGGUCAGCCGGUCCAUGCCGAAUCUGAACGCUCCACUGGUGUCCGCUCUUGCUGAUCGGUGGAGGCCGGAGACGCAUAGUUUCCAUCUUCGGACUAGAGAGAUGACUGUGACGCUCGAGGAUGUCUCGUUGAUCAUCGUUCUUGCUAUCGACGAGAUGCCUCUUUGUAUGAGCACCGAUUCUGAUGGGUGGCGCGAGCAGAUGAUUGCUCUUAUCGGUAUGGCUCCUACCGAGGUUGAGGCUGAUGUAGAGGAGGGAGAA